AUUGAACGCUGGCGGCAGGCCUAACACAUGCAAGUCGAACGGUAGCACAGAGAGCUUGCUCUCGGGUGACGAGUGGCGGACGGGUGAGUAACGUCUGGGAAACUGCCCGAUGGAGGGGGAUAACUACUGGAAACGGUAGCUAAUACCGCAUAACGUCGCAAGACCAAAGUGGGGGACCUUCGGGCCUCACACCAUCGGAUGUGCCCACAUGGGAUUAUCUAGUAGGUGGGGUAAUGGCUCACCUAGGCGACGAUCCCUAGCUGGUCUGAGAGGAUGACCAGCCACACUGGAACUGAGACACGGUCCAGACUCCUACGGGAGGCAGCAGUGGGGAAUAUUGCACAAUGGGCGCAAGCCUGAUGCAGCCAUGCCGCGUGUAUGAAGAAGGCCUUCGGGUUGUAAAGUACUUUCAGCGGGGAGGAAGGCGGUGAAGUUAAUAACUUCACCGAUUGACGUUACCCGCAGAAGAAGCACCGGCUAACUCCGUGCCAGCAGCCGCCGCGG
This 504-nucleotide ribosomal RNA is filed under the name uncultured bacterium. RNAcentral describes it as "partial 16S ribosomal RNA". It matches the Rfam family "Bacterial small subunit ribosomal RNA", at positions 30 to 523 of the family's 1533-position model. The record is from RNAcentral.